RNAcentral lists this transfer RNA (69 nucleotides) under Oxalis calachaccensis. Its description in RNAcentral is "partial tRNA-Leu". Lineage: Eukaryota; Viridiplantae; Streptophyta; Magnoliopsida; Oxalidales; Oxalidaceae. The record is from RNAcentral.
UGGAUUGAGCCUUGGUACGGAAAAUCCGUCGACUUUAGAAAUCGUGAGGGUUCAAGUCCCUCUAUCCCC